GAUGAACGCUGGCGGCGUGCCUAAUACAUGCAAGUCGAGCGAACAGAUAAGGAGCUUUCUCCUUUGACGUUAGCGGCGGACGGGUGAGUAACACGUGGAUAACCUUCCUAUAAGACUGGGAUAACUUCGGGAAACCGGAGCUAAUACCGGAUAACAUAUUGAACCGCAUGGUUCAAUAGUGAAAGGCGGCUUGGCUGUCACUUAUAGAUGGAUCCGGGGCGGAUUAGCUAGUUGGUAAGGUAACGGCUUACCAAGGCAACGAUCCGUAGCCGACCUGAGAGGGUGAUCGGCCACACUGGAACUGAGACACGGUCCAGACUCCUACGGGAGGCAGCAGUAGGGAAUCUUCGGCAAUGGGCGCAAGCCUGACGGAGCAACGCCGCGUGAGUGAUGAAGGUCUUCGGAUCGUAAAACCCUGUUAUCAGGGAAGAACAAAUGUGUAAGUAACUGUGCACAUCUUGACGGUACCUGAUCAGAAAGCCACGGCUAACUACGUG
This 497-nucleotide ribosomal RNA is filed under the name uncultured bacterium. RNAcentral describes it as "partial 16S ribosomal RNA". It matches the Rfam family "Bacterial small subunit ribosomal RNA", at positions 28 to 507 of the family's 1533-position model. The record is from RNAcentral.